This 1101-nucleotide long non-coding RNA is filed under the name Nannospalax galili (Upper Galilee mountains blind mole rat). RNAcentral describes it as "lncRNA (ENSNGAG00000024469.1)". Lineage: Eukaryota; Metazoa; Chordata; Mammalia; Rodentia; Spalacidae. The record is from RNAcentral.
AGAAGAUUUCUAAUGACAUUUUCUAAUGAGAUUUCUCAUACGGUUUUCAAGUUUAUUCACUCUGUAAAGAAUGAGAAAGGUAAAUUGAGUACUAGUUUACCCUAAGCAGAUUUUUUAAGGAAGCCUUUGUCUUCAUUCGGGAAAACGUUUCCAGACAUUUAUGAAGAUAGAAAGGGAGCAGUAUACUAAGUCCACAAAUCGUGCAGGUAAAGCAUUUUACCUGAAGCAGGGAGAUCAGUUAUUUUGCUUCUAGGGAGGAAUAGUAGGGUAGAGAGGGGAAAGGUAAGAAAGGAAGAAGAAGAAAGAGGAUUCAGUCACACAAGGGAGGGGAAGCUAGAUGUUGCAAGAAUUGAAAGGGUAGGAGAAGAUGCUGCUCUCAGACCCAGACAGCUGUGACAGCCCAGAUGUCAUAGGCUCAUCACCAGGUAUGUAUGUGGCUCUCUAGCAACAUUUCUCCUCCUCAACAGAAAGUUACUGAUACAUCAGGCAACUCUGCCAGUCAUGAAUUUCUCCUAAGACCCAGGUUUCCUGUUAUUUAUAGCCCAAGGCAACAGAACUAAAAGAGAGGUUACUUGUCAGUAGCCCGACGCAAGAUAUGAAAGAAAACUGCUGCAAAUAAACGUGUUUAAUAUAUUCCUGACUGAAAGUUUUAUGAUGCAUAGCACAACCUUUAAAGCAAUGUUACAGUUUUUUCUCCCCAAGCAUAAUUUGUUAAUCUAUUUAAAUAUCUAUUAGCUAAUAAAACUGCAAGAUACUUAUUAUGUAUGUUUUAAUGUUCCUGAAAAGUAAAUAACAAAUGACAUAAAAAUCAUUUUACAUUGGCAACUUUUUACUGUUCUGUGUAUUGCUGGCUAAUAAAAACAGAAAACUGUGGAGGGCAUGAAAUCUGUCCUACAACAGAAUUUGUGAAGUAUUUUGAUUAAAUUUUCCUAUACCCCUGAGGACAUAUUCCCAUUUUCCUUAAUAGGAGCAGAAUAUUAUUCACAUUCUAUUAGUAAUGUAUAUUUCCAAGCUAAAUUAGUUCUUAUAAAAUUCUAAUAAUUAGAGAAAUAAUAACAUGGCUGUUUUUAGGCAUUGAACUAAGCAACUUUCUCACAUCUU